Molecule: ribosomal RNA, 256 nt
Filed under: Micromonosporaceae bacterium ISO888_OTU2305
Lineage: Bacteria; Bacillati; Actinomycetota; Actinomycetes; Micromonosporales; Micromonosporaceae
Description: partial 16S ribosomal RNA
Rfam family: Bacterial small subunit ribosomal RNA
Source: RNAcentral
ACGAACGCUGGCGGCGUGCUUAACACAUGCAAGUCGAGCGGAAAGGCCUUUCGGGGUACUCGAGCGGCGAACGGGUGAGUAACACGUGAGCAACCUGCCUCUGACUUUGGGAUAACCCUCGGAAACGGGGGCUAAUACCGGAUACGACCUCGCUGGGCAUCUGGUGGGGUGGAAAGCUUUUGUGGUCAGGGAUGGGCUCGCGGCCUAUCAGCUUGUUGGUGGGGUGAUGGCCUACCAAGGCGGUGACGGGUAGCCG